AGAGUGGGAGGAAUCUUACUCAUUUGAAAAGAGCUUGACUGUUACAUCAGAGGACCCCAGGAUGGUCUGAAGGAGGAGAGGCUGUUUCUUCUUAAAGCUUUCAAGUGGUGUAUAAGUCCCUUUAUGCUGCUAUAAAGGAAUACCCAAGACUGGGUAACUUACAAAGAAAAGAGAUUUAUUUGGCUCAUUGUUCUGCUGGCUAUACAUGAAGCAUAAUGCCAGCAUUUGCUCUGGUGAGGGCCUCAAGAAGCUUAUAAUCAUGGAAGAAGGAGAUGGAGAGCCAGCAUGUCACAUGGAAGCGUGAGAGGAAGCAAGAGAGAGGGGGGAGGAGGUGCUAGGUUGUUUUAAACAACCAGUUCUCUUGUGAACUCAGAGAAAACUCACUCAUUACUGUGAGGACAGCAGCGGCAAGUCAUUCAUGAGGCAUCCACCCCCAUGACUCAAACACCUCCCACUAGGCCCACCUCCAACACCGGAGGCCACAUUUCAACAUGUGAUUUGGAGGGGACAAGCAUCCAAUCCAUAUCAGGUGGGGAAGGUCAGGAGGUGGACAACAGAAUCAUUGUUGCCCAGUUUAGGACUUCUCAAAUUUUAGUGUACAUGGAAAUCACUGGAGUUCUCAUUAAAAUGCAAAUUCUGAUUC
This 643-nucleotide long non-coding RNA is filed under the name Homo sapiens (human). RNAcentral's name for it is "HSALNT0361900". Lineage: Eukaryota; Metazoa; Chordata; Mammalia; Primates; Hominidae. The record is from RNAcentral.